UAAUGACUACUAGUAAUAGGAUUACCUCUACCAAUAUCACUAACAUUACUAAUACUACUAAUACCACUGUCACUAGCAUCAUUAUCAUCUUUACUAUCAAUAGCAUGGUAUACACAGUAGAAAUGCAGAAUUUUAUUAAUUCAGAACAUCAAACAUACACAAUACAAACUCUCAUACUGAGGAGAAAGAAGGAAUUAAACUCCUCCUUUUCUUUUUAUUCAGAAUGCAGAAUGCAAAAUACUCAUAAACCUCUUUAGAUGGAGAUACUGUUAGGAAUACCUCUGAAAGUCAAGCCUUCCUCACUUGAAGGAUAGAGCAAUGUGUAAGGCAUCUUCACUGGACCAUAUCGGUUCCUCAGAGUCUCAUCACUGUUUCUUUGGAUGAGCUUUUGCUCAAUUUCUGCCAACCUCUUUCCAAACCUCUUGAAGGCCUCCAAUGGCUCUUUAUCAUAAGUCCAAAAUUCACCACCAUCUCUUUGUCCGAGAUACAACUCAUCAGAAGCAUGCCUUGACAACACUUCUAUAAUGGUCAGGUCUUUAAGGGCAUCACUCUUUCCUGUGAUUGUUUUCAAGUACACCUUUUCAGGGUUCUUGGCAAGCUCAGCAUACUCAGGAGAUCCAAUCUCAGGCAUGAAUUGCCUACUAAGAGUUGGUCGGUUAAGGAUGUAGCCACCAUAUGGAUACUGUCCGAAAUUCACAGCUGCAUGAAGGGCUGAAGCAGUCCAUAUCAGUGUGGUGCAAGAUUCAAUCAACUCUUCACGAGUUUGCAUUUUCACCCACCAUGGCUCAUUUUUCUUGUCACCAUGACCAACUUGCACAAGUUCUUUCCAAAAGGCUUGGAGUUCAGUAUCUUGUCCAAUUGCAGCAUCAGACUUGUAGUAGAAAGACACAUAUUCUUGCACCCAUGACUUGAUGGUGGCCCAUAUCUCUAGUCCAUCAGCAGCAUAAGGAUAGUCCUCUAUCAGAAGACGAAGGCCGUGUGGAGCAGAUAAAUCCUUAACAGCCACACCUCUAGAUAACAAAAGAAGGAAAUGUUCUUUGUUUUUAGAUAAUCUUUUUUGUUUUUAUCUUAAGUAAUGAAUACAGAAUUUGAAAGAGAUGUGCUAAUAGCUUGUAAGUAUUACCUCUUAAGAAGAUCUGCAGGUAGUGCUUGCUCAGGGAAAACCCAAUCCUUGUAUACAACUGCAGACAUUUCUAAAGAAUAGCUUCCCCACAAGAAAGUUGAUUCUAUGAUACCCUCUGCAUUGACCAAGACAUUCCUUGCAAGUGCAUUGAUGUUCAUUGUGUCACGAUAAUGUGGAAGAAGAAGUUUGUGAAUAGGGUGAACCACACUGAGAUGCCUGUUUGUUGCUAUCACGAAUGGCUCAACAACUGCAUGAGUGUUUAACCUGUCAUACAUGUAAAGCUAUUAAAGAAUAGUUCGUAAAUAGAAAAACCAAGUUUGACAAAUGUCAUCUGCAAAAUUUAUACCAAUGGCUGACAAGUUGGUGAUAACAAGAGUCAUUUACGAUCACAUAAGCCUUUGCAAGCAGCCAAAUAUAAGCUUCAACUCCUUGGUUUGCCGGAAGAUAAACAUUGCUAAUAGGACCAAAAUUAUCACCCUGAGGAUGUGGUUUACUUAACUCAAUAGCCAAUGGCUUUAAUGUUCCAUUAUCUUGUAAGAAAAUGAUGGUCCUAGUAGCAUAGGCCUUUGUCUCUGUUGCAUUGAUUCGUCUCAAAUAUGGAAUAAGUGUGUCAUGGUGAUCUAGUAUGAAGAGUCUGUUGUUUUGGAUAGCCUGCUCAACCAAAUAUAUUUUAGUCCUUGUAACUCAUUUCAAUCACAUAAAAAAAGUUCAUUUCACAGUAAUAGCAAAAGUCUUGUAUGCUUCUUUUGUUAAGUUAGAGAUUGGGAUGGAUAGAAGGAGGGGAAAAUUCUAUGAGGAAAGAAAAAAGUAUGUGUAUAUUUACCUGUUCUACAGUUAGCCCACCCAAGUUAGGCUCCAAGUGCUCUCUUGUAAUUGUACUGGUAUUAUCACCAUAGAGCUGGCUAUCUAGCUUGCUCUUAGGCGGAAACUCCUACAAAAGGUUUGCAUUGAGGUAAGGUAAUAAACCCUGAUAAAAAAUUUAUCUUUUUUACUUUCUUAACAGUAGUAAUUUACCUGAAGUCUUGUAAUGAUAUGAGGAUUCACACCAGCAAUCAUCUCUCUUGCAAACUCUUCAUCAGUCAUCCAUGCAGACUGGUCCACUACUCCAAAUAAACACUUAUUAAAUGAUGUAUCAACUUAUAUGAUAUGUUUAUGAAUAUAAGCAUUACUAUGAUGGAUUUGUUUGUAAUGUACUACCUUGAAUUACUUUAGGUGGUGGAAACUUAAGAACCUGUUCUCCAUCAGUACGAAAUAGUUCACUGAACAAAGGUAUAGGACUAAUCUUGCUAAGUGCAUCAGUAGGCAACUUAAUUCCACCAUCAUAGAGUCCACGCACAUCAUCAAAGCUAGUAAACUCAGGUUGGUUGAAUUGUAGUCUAAGUGCAGAUUGUAAUUGAGGUAUCACAUUUUGAGAUGCAGAUUUAAGAAUAUAAACAAGGAAAUCUGAUGACUUCAAGUGACCAAAUGAUUCAUCCCUUGGAAGAUAUACAGAGUCACUGCGACUCUCACUUUUAGGAUCUGUUAAGAUACGCAAUACCAGAAUUAACAACAGCAAUUUUAGAACUAGCACAAUAAUAAGUGUUGUUGAUAUUUUAUAUCAGCAAAAAUUCACUGUAUGUAUGUUUUUCCCAACCCUCAGCUCUGGCAAAGCAAAUUGAUAUUGUUUGACAAUGACAGUAAUGUUUGGCUAAUUUGCCGCCAAAAAUAAAUGAGGUCACUGUAACUAUACUUUAUUGUAAGGUAAAUGAUAACUUCCAACUUUUCUGUAGGUAGAAUUGACUCAAAAUACCAAAAAGACACGCUUAUUUAAGACAAACUAAUGAAAUACAUUCAGCCAAUAAUGUUAAUUAUCUGAAAAACUAAACCACUGAACCUCAAAACUUCCUCCAUCGAGGUAAAACACAACAUCAGGUGUUGUUUUAUCAGUUUUGCUAAAACUGCAUACCAUGAAUUUGAAAAGAAGAUUGCUGAAAAACUGUAUUGAAUCUUAGAACAAAGUCUUACCUUUCUUAGUUGGUUUUCUUCCGGUUCUUCCCCUGCGAGGAUAAGGCAACGUGGAUCCUCCAAGAACUGGACGGGCCAAUCUGGCAUUGGAGUCAGGAUCGCCCAAGUCAUUGUAGACAUCAUAGUCAUAGAUUCUUUCAUGUUCUUUGCGCUCUCCUGUUCCAUCUCCUCUCAAAGUCUUUAAUUCUUCUUCUCUAUACUUCACCAGUGGACCUGGUGUUUCACUUGGAAGGUAUGCCUAUAUUUGUUUAUAUUUAACAGAUUGAUUUUCUCAUUGAUGGGUGAUGCCAAGAUUGGAAAAUAGAUUUAACUAGUUUACUUGGUGAGAAGUUUACCUUGUUGGCAAAGAAAAUGCGAUCAGAUUUGUACUUUUUGUCGUUGUAAACCCAUGAGUUGCAAACAAAGUGUAUGGUUCCGUGGUUAGGAAUAUCUUCAAGAGUCAAACUCACAAGGAAGAAUUCAACUUGCAUGAAAUUCUCAAUGUAAAAGGCUCCAGGAAUUCCCAUGUCACUGUCCCAUUCAAAAUGAAUAUCGAAUGCAGACUGGCCAGCUCCCAAGGUUGGUAAGGAAGUAAUAAUACCUUCCAAAUAUGUUUGUUUUCCCACCUUUCCUUUUCCAGACGCUGAACAAAAUUUUCAAGUGUCAUAUUCUCAUUUAUUCAACUUUCUGUCAAAUUCUCACAUACAAAAUAAUCACGUCCAACGUAAGUUUUACAGCAAAAAGAACUAAAAAUUUCACCAUUUUGCCACCUUUUUUAGCUUAAUCAUGAUUCUCUUCAUUUCAUCUUCUUGGUUGUUUUAUUAUUAAACUGUUUAAUAUGAUCCUUCGAUUGUCAUAUAAUUAUUUUGUACAACAUUAGAGUGGAAGUGAGUGUUCCUAUUUGGUUGGACUGAAUACAGACAGAAAUGAAUUGUAUAAUCAGUUAAACAUUUAAAUAACAAUAAAUAUAAUUUAAAAAGCAAAGAAAGCAAAGUAUAGUAAUAAGAAAAGAAGUCGGUUACCAUCAGCAGCAGUGGCACUGAUCAACCUGAGAGCCACAGAUCGUCCGAGAAAGGAAGUGAGAGUGUCAACGGUGGUGCCGAUGACACCACCCACAACACCGAUUGCGCCACCGAUGAUGCCGGUGGGACUUUGAGCAGAAGUGAGAGCAUUGAUAUCCAACACAUUCUUACGCAUCAACACCACUGUUCCCUUCAGCUUCUGCCCCCGGUUGAUGAGACCUGUCACACCUGAAAACAUCUUUAGAAAUCUUAAACAACAACAACGUUAUACACUUGGUUUUUCUCCAGUAGAGAAACUGGGUUGGGAGAAAGACGAAGAAGGUGGCUAGUAUUUAUAAGGCCAAAACAAGAUCGUCAGAAAGAAAGAGUUGUCAUUUCUUAACAGCAUGUGCCAAACAUGAUCUUCCAUACUCUUCUUCUCAUCUGCUCUAUAAAAUAUCAAUAACAUAUACUUUUUAACAUCAGAUACAUAGCACACAACACACACGUGUUACCUUUUUAUCAUAUUUAAAAUAUGUUAACAUAAAUACCAAAUAAAUAAUAAAUGAGAAUAUAUAUAUAUAUAUAUAUAUAUAUAUAUAUAUAUAUAUAUAUCCUUUAUAUAUUAGUAAUAACAUUAUAGAAACUGCAGUAGAAUAACUCUCCCAAAUAUACUAUUGUAUUUUUUCUGCAUGAAUUUCAUUAAACUGUAUAUCUAUUUAAAAGCACUACUUCUAUGAGAUUACAUAUACUUCUCUGAGAUUACAUAUCUAAUCCGAGCAGUCAAAACAUAAACAUUAAUCAUUACCGUAAGUCUCUGAUCAUAUAUAUAUAUAUAUAUAUAUAUAUAUAAUCUACAGAAAAAAUGUAAUUCAGCAUACUACAUUGAUAUGGUCUAAAGGGAGUGUUCAGAAGAUCUGUGAGAGAGUAUGGGCUGGAUUACAAUAUCAUUGGAGCAAUCAAUCUUCCAAUCUCUAGCCCAACUAUUUCUUUAAUCUAAUAUUUACUGCUAUAUUAUAUAUACAUCAUACUCUGCAAUAUAAACUGCAUGUUUAAAUUAAAAUUGAGAUCUUCAAAAUUAAUUUUAUAUUUUCUAUUUUCGUAUGAAGUUCUUUUGCCUUUAAUACCACUUGAACAACGUAUGUUAAGCAUGUGUAUGCUUCCUAUUGGGGUCUUCUUUUGUCAAUGCCUAUUUGUCUAUACGUUUCAAACUAUUAUUUUUCAAUAAUGUCAUCAAAGUAAUCAAAAUAUGUAUGUUAGAUAUGUAACAUGGGUGAAAGAAACAACAACACAACAAUAAAAAAAAAUACUAACAAUAAAAAAAUACUAAAAUAUGUAAAAAGUAAUUCUUUUAAAUUUAUCUGAGGUAUAAUAGUAAAAAAUAGUAAUAAUAAUAUUAAAAAAAAGACUAGUGUUUUUAAUAUGGAAAAACGUUUUUAAUCACAUCAUACAUUUAUGAAAACAUUAAUUGAGUAUCAUUUACUUGUAUUCUCAUUUAUUCUUAGGAUAAACUUAUUUAAAUCUUGAUUAGAUUUUUAUACAUAGAUCAUAUUGUAUUUGGUUAAGCGGAUAACCAAAACCAACAAUUAUAUAUCACUUAUGAGUCUUUUAAUUAAUUAAGAUUCACCGAUAUAAAUACAAUAAAAUAUGAGUUAUGACCAAGUCAAAUGAGCACUGUAUGAUCCUUGUAUCAAACCUUUUUAAUGGGUUUUAGGCAAAUAUGUUUCAUUGUAAUAUAAGAACAAUAUAAGAAAGUUAGAAAGAUAUAUAGUUAUGAUUGAAAUUUGUUAGAAAUUCAAAUAUGACAAGUCUUAGAGAGUGUUCGUUUGUGGAAGUUCAUUGUGUGAAUGGAUUUAUCAAAGCAAAUUUGCGGGAUUAGGAUGUAUUCGUUUUUAACAAUUUGUAAUUGAGUAAAGGAGAUGAAUUGUGAUAUGCUAUCUUACCAAAACAAAGAGAUUUGUGAGGAUAGAAUAUUUUUUUACCAUAAUAUUCCUAAUAUGUACACAUGUAAUCAAUUCCACUCAUUAUUGGAAUGAGUUCCUUUCCUCUCUACAAUUUGUUGUUCCUUUCUCACUCCUCUCUCUCUCUCUCUCUCUCUCUCUCUCUCUCUCUAUAUAUAUAUAUAUAUAUAUAUAUAUAUAUAUAUAUAUAUAUAAAAUAAUAAUAAUAAUAAUGUUGAGUACUAAUAGGAAUAUUAUAUAAUAAUAAUAAUAUUUAAUAAUAAUAAUAUUAUUAAUAUAAUAGUAAUAAUAAUAUAUUAAUUUUAAUUACAAAAAUAAAAAAUAACCUUAUAUUUUUAUUUUUUUAAUAUUUAUGAAAAAAUUUAUCCAAAGAAUUUAUAAGAUUUAUAUUUCUCUAUUUUAUUAUAACCUGAGUCUCUUCUCUAUUUUCAUUAUUUAUUAUUUCUUUUUAAUUCUAUUAUUUUAAAUAAUUUUUAUAAAAAAAAUAUUAUUAUAAAUAUUAUUUUAUAUUAAUAUUAUUAUUCUUUAUUACAUAUCUGUUAAAACAAUUCUUUUUAAUCUAUUACAUGAGUCAAAUUAUACAUCAAUUUUCCUUCUAAAUUUAUUCUCAAUCACCUUCAAGUCCAUUAAAAAAAGUAACACACAAUUUCCUCUCAAAUCUCUUUAUAUCAUUCUACUUCAUCUCCCUUAAAUCAUCUUUCUCAACUGAAUACACCUUAAGAGUUAGCAUAAAUAUUUAAAGAUUAAAAUUAAUUAAAAAUAGUUAGUAAUUGAAAACAUAAUAAAAUAAAUUUGGAUAAAGGAAGGCACAAGGACCAAUGUUUGAUGAGUUUAAUAAAUUUAAAGAUGAUCACGGUAAGCAUUGGAGUAUUGAUAAAAUCACAGGAUAUUGGAAAAGACCCUAACAAAAAUAACCUCAGUUAUUUUUAUAAAAUAUUAUGCUCUCGCUGAAUCAGAAAAGGUUAUAAAAAUAAGUUGAGUGGUGGGUGUUGCAUAAUUUAUAAUUAAACAAAAGAAAAAUACAAUCUUUAUAUUAUAAGAAAAGGUAAUUUUGUUCUAGCUGUUAAGUCGAUAUUUUUAAAUGAUCUUGAGAUCUUCAACAAUUAGACCUCGAAAAGAUAGAUCAUCUUGCAAAUUUCUCUUAGGUUUUUUUAAGUCUUUUUCUCAUCAUGGAUCCACCUAAAUCUUAAAUUAGAUCAUGAUUUUGGUUUUAAUGCUCCUCACUUUUUCCUUAGACUUUCAUUUCUGCAUUAAAAAUAAUUGAAUUUCAUGUAAGAAAAUAAAUCCUUUGAUUUUGAUGUUCUCAUUACAUGCAUAAACAAAAAAGUUAAAUAUCAUAUAAAUUACCUCUUUGUGUGAAUUUGACACUAAGAUCUUAUUGUUCUUUUGUCUCCCAUAAAUUCCUUUCCAACAUCUAUCAACAAGACAUAUAUAAAUGAAUGGUUUAAUAUUACUCUCUGUGCUUUGCAAAAAGACAUCUAGAUUUUAAUUUCCGUAUCUGCAAAUAAAAAUUUAAUUAGUCUUUGAUAUAUAUAUAUAUAUAUAUAUUUCACACUUUAAACUAACUAUUAAAUAAGCUCACAAGUUAAGCGAGUAGUUUACGUCAGAUGUAUCAAAAUCUAAUGUUGUUUCACCUGUUUCCUUAUAAGUAACUUUAAUGUAUAACUUAAUCACGGUUUGUGUUCUUCGCACUUUUCUGUAUAUGUGAUAACGAUGGAAACGCAUAUGUGAUUUUGUCUUCAUCUUUAUCUUUAUGCAGCUUGUCCUUUUAUCUUCAUCUUUGAAUAUGUUGAUUAUACUAAUGUUAGUGUAUAAUCGUCUUGUUAAUUCUUAUCCAAACAAUUAAAUAGAACGUUACAAUUAAUAAACCUACUAGUGCAAAAACGUUGUUUAAUAUCGGUUAAUUUGGACUUUUAACGUCACUUUCACAUCCGACGUCUAAACGGGUGACGUCUAUGGGACGUCAGAAUUCCUCAGAACCGACGUCCAACUCAAUGUCGGCUAUAGACAUCCACCGAGGUCUCUAUAGAUGUCUGAUUAAACACACACCGACGUCUAAUUACUCUGUAUAGACGUCAUCCUAUGAUUAAACCGACGUCAACAUGAAUAUAUAAAGAGGUUUAAAAUGACACUAACCGACGACUAUGUUGUUACCGACGUCUAACAACAAUUUUGUGUUUUAGUGCAGUUUUGAUUCAGGCUUUCGGUAACAUUGUGUAACAUUUUUCUCUCGCUAGUUUCCUCACAAAAAAGCUUGCGUCUUUUGAAUCCUCUAGUCCUUUCAACCCAAAACCGAAUUUGGGUCCAUGGCUACUUCCCAUUAAUCAACUACAACAGAAAAAAAUUACGGUGUCGAGAAGUAGACAAGGACACAGUUUCCAUUUUGGGUCGGAAGAACUAGAAAACUCAAAAGAUCGCCACUCUUCUUGUGAGGAAACCAGCAAAGGAAGAAUGUUGCACUAUGUUACCCAAAGAGAUGAUCAAAAUUGCACUAAAAUACAACACAAAGAAAGGAAAUUUUGAUCAGUUCAACGACAAGAUAAUCGAUAACAAACUAAAGAAAGUUUAAACGGGUAGUAUAAAAAAAAAAACCACAAACUUGGGAUGCAAGAGAGAAAAAGGAGAGUACGAAGACAAUGACGUUGUGAGAAACGACAACGCAAUGCAGCAAGAGAUAAACAGUAGAGGAGAAGCAGAGAAAAAGGAGAAGAGAUGAAGACGCGAUUGAAACUGAAUUUUGAGAAGAGUCUGCGGUCUAUUUAAAAUGAAAUGGGGCGUCGGUUGCUCCAGAAACCGACGUCUAGGAAGCUGAAAAGAUUGACGUUUUGGUUUCCUGUCAGGGAAGUUAACGUCGGUGCCCCUAAGAGCCGACGUCUACAACCCUCGAAUUUGGUGAAAAUAAAGGAACGUAGACGUCGGUGCCCCUUAGAACUAACGUCUACAUUGAAGAAUUUUUGUCUUCCUGCCUUCCAGACAGGCCUUAGACGUUGGCGUUUGACUACGUGACGUCUAAUUGCCUGGGGUAUUAGGUGAACAACA
RNAcentral lists this long non-coding RNA (9107 nucleotides) under Vigna radiata. RNAcentral describes it as "long non-coding RNA (VRAD_LNC009456)". The record is from RNAcentral. Lineage: Eukaryota; Viridiplantae; Streptophyta; Magnoliopsida; Fabales; Fabaceae.